RNAcentral lists this ribosomal RNA (338 nucleotides) under uncultured bacterium. RNAcentral describes it as "bacterial SSU rRNA". It matches the Rfam family "Bacterial small subunit ribosomal RNA", at positions 997 to 1334 of the family's 1533-position model. The record is from RNAcentral.
UUUGUNAGAGAUACAAAGUUCCCUUCGGGGACGCUAAGACAGGUGGUGCAUGGCUGUCGUCAGCUCGUGUCGUGAGAUGUUGGGUUAAGUCCCGCAACGAGCGCAACCCUUGUUAUUAGUUGCCAGCAUUAAGUUGGGCACUCUAAUGAGACUGCCGGUGACAAACCGGAGGAAGGUGGGGAUGACGUCAAGUCAUCAUGCCCCUUAUGACCUGGGCUACACACGUGCUACAAUGGGCAGUACAACGAGAAGCGAGCCUGCGAAGGCAAGCGAAUCUCUGAAAGCUGUUCUCAGUUCGGACUGCAGUCUGCAACUCGACUGCACGAAGNCUGGAAUCG